UCCUUAGUACGAGAGGACCGGGAUGGACAUACCCCUGGUGGACCAGUUGUCGUGCCAACGGCAUUGCUGGGUAGCUAUGUAUGGACGGGAUAAGUGCUGAAAGCAUCUAAGCAUGAAGCCCCCCUCAAGAUGAGAUUUCCCCAUUAGAUCCCUCAGAGAUGAUGAGGUGGAUAGGUUCGGCGUGUACGUGUGGUGACACAUUCAGCGGACGAAUACUAAUCGAUCGAUGACUUAUUCAAG
This 240-nucleotide ribosomal RNA is filed under the name Salinicoccus sediminis. RNAcentral describes it as "partial 23S ribosomal RNA". It matches the Rfam family "Bacterial large subunit ribosomal RNA", at positions 2675 to 2925 of the family's 2925-position model. The record is from RNAcentral. Lineage: Bacteria; Bacillati; Bacillota; Bacilli; Caryophanales; Staphylococcaceae.